AACUCAGUAGCUCAGUGGUUUGAGCGUUGGAUUACAACUCUGCAGAACAGGGUUCGAAUCCCCACUCAGCCA
Phrynosoma platyrhinos (Desert horned lizard) is the source of this 72-nucleotide non-coding RNA. NCBI's taxonomy places the organism in Eukaryota, Metazoa, Chordata, Lepidosauria, Squamata, Phrynosomatidae. The record is from the annotation of a GenBank genome assembly.